AUUGAACGCUGGCGGCAGGCCUAACACAUGCAAGUCGAACGGUAACAGGAAGCAGCUUGCUGCUUCGCUGACGAGUGGCGGACGGGUGAGUAAUGUCUGGGAAGCUGCCUGAUGGAGGGGGAUAACUACUGGAAACGGUAGCUAAUACCGCAUAAUGUCGCAAGACCAGAGAGGGGGACCUUCGGGCCUCUUGCCAUCGGAUGUGCCCAGAUGGGAUUAGCUUGUUGGUGGGGUAACGGCUCACCAAGGCGACGAUCCCUAGCUGGUCUGAGAGGAUGACCAGCCACACUGGAAGUGAGACACGGUCCAGACUCCUACGGGAGGCAGCAGUGGGGAAUAUUGCACAAUGGGUGCAAGCCUGAUGCAGCCAUGCCGCGUGUAUGAAGAAGGCCUUCGGGUUGUAAAGUACUUUCAGCGGGGAGGAAGGGAGUAAAGUUAAUACCUUUGCUCAUUGACGUUACCCGCAGAAGAAGCACCGGCUAACUCCGUG
RNAcentral lists this ribosomal RNA (490 nucleotides) under uncultured bacterium. RNAcentral describes it as "partial 16S ribosomal RNA". It matches the Rfam family "Bacterial small subunit ribosomal RNA", at positions 30 to 507 of the family's 1533-position model. The record is from RNAcentral.